RNAcentral lists this ribosomal RNA (462 nucleotides) under uncultured Acidovorax sp. RNAcentral describes it as "bacterial SSU rRNA". It matches the Rfam family "Bacterial small subunit ribosomal RNA", at positions 919 to 1382 of the family's 1533-position model. Lineage: Bacteria; Pseudomonadati; Pseudomonadota; Betaproteobacteria; Burkholderiales; Comamonadaceae. The record is from RNAcentral.
ACCCGCACAAGCGGUGGAUGAUGUGGUUUAAUUCGAUGCAACGCGAAAACCUUACCCACCUUUGACAUGUACGGAAUCCUUUAGAGAUAGAGGAGUGCUCGAAAGAGAGCCGUAACACAGGUGCUGCAUGGCUGUCGUCAGCUCGUGUCGUGAGAUGUUGGGUUAAGUCCCGCAACGAGCGCAACCCUUGUCAUUAGUUGCUACAUUCAGUUGGGCACUCUAAUGAGACUGCCGGUGACAAACCGGAGGAAGGUGGGGAUGACGUCAAGUCCUCAUGGCCCUUAUAGGUGGGGCUACACACGUCAUACAAUGGAUGGUACAAAGGGUCGCCAACCCGCGAGGGGGAGCCAAUCCCAUAAAGCCAUUCGUAGUCCGGAUCGCAGUCUGCAACCCGACUGCGUGAAGUCGGAAUCGCUAGUAAUCGUGGAUCAGAAUGUCACGGUGAAUACGUUCCCGGGUCUU